UGUUGUUUUCUCAGAAAUAGGUUUCAUAAUAAUUUUAUUCUUCGAUCGGAUUUCGCAGAUAUACCCUCUAUUACUUAUAAUUUGACAAAUCAAUUAUUUAUUCAAAUCAUUGUUUUUAGCUAAAAUAAUGCUGUCGGAUUCUAUCAUGAACUGAGGGCCGAGCAUUCUAUUGAACUGAGUCUUCUAACAUAAUUCAAAAUUUACCCUAUAUUGACCUAUACACAACAAUGCUCAAAAUGUGUUUAUUCCAAUGAAAAUAUGUCUAUUUUUUUAUACCGAUUAAAUUGAGGAUAGAUUAAUGUGUGACAGUAUUUUUAAUUUUUCUUUUGCUAAUGAAAAGCAAAUUUAUGAUUUUAUCUAUAACCAGAGAUAUUGGCGCUAAAUUUAUCAUAUCCAAAAAAAUAUUGAUAAUUUUUUUUAAUAAGGUGGAAUUUCUGAUAUUCGAAAUAUUCGAAUUUUAUUAUUAUAUACUAAUAUAAUGGUCCCAUAUUUCUAUGGCUUCAUGUAAUUUUUUCAGCACGAGAAGAUGAUUUUUUGUGUCAUGAAUUUUUUUAAUACAAUGGAAAAUCUGUUUCUGAUCGAUGCAUCAGAUUUAAAAACGCGCCCACAUGAUAAUAGCGAAGAUUCGCGGUUUUUUUAUAUCAUGUAAACUCUCCCAAGCUAGCCUGUAAUUUAUUUCGAAUACACCCAAAAAUUGGAUUGCGUGAAUGCAUGAUAAUGAAAUCUUGCAAUAAUCCGAUAAAGAUUUAUUAUUCUGAACCAAUGAAAUAAAUGUAUUUCUGAUUUAAUAUAAUCCUUAGGAAUUCUUUAGAAGUUCAAAAAUUGGCAAUUUUAUUUGCAACAAAAUUAUCAGAUGUUACUGCUGGAUAAUGGCGGGGAACGCGAUCGGUCGUAAUAAUGAAGGAAGAUUCUUUUUUCUUUUGACAUGCGCAUGCAUUUUCUAUGAAAUCUUCUACCGCGACUGUUAUGAUGAAAUUUUUAAACUCUCGAACUGCGUGUGAUAUUUCCAACUAUACCUGUGACAAUUUAUGCUUUCUUGCACAUGUAUAUCUGUCAUAUAACAGAUCUACGCUUCAUAUUCAUUUUUUGUUACCGUACCGUAAGCAUUACUGAUAGCUCGAAUUCUUCGAAAAAUUUCUUAAACUUUAUUAAUGAAAUCGAAUAUAUGCUCGCUGACUAAUACUUUUAAUUGAGCUUUCAUCUGUGCUAAUAGCCAUCUGAUGCUGUUGUUAUGCUGAAUACCGCUGGAUCAGGAAUUUGAUGCAACUUCACAUGUUAAUAAUUGCUGAUCUUUCUUUCAGAUUGAAUCAGGAACACAUUGGCGGAUCUUUAAUGUUAAAACGAAUCUUUUUCUAAUUCUAAUAAUGAUGAUUCUUGAUUGAUGUCCACUGGAUACUGAACUGAAUUCAUUUUUGAAUAUUUAUUUUAUGAUUGUAUUCAGCUGUAUCCGGCUCAAAGGAUAAAGGAUAAAUAUUAAAAUCUAAACUAAAUGAUUUUGAAUAUUGCGAAUAGAAUAUCUGAAUUGAUAGUAUUAUCGACUUAUUGUACAAUCAUUUGUCUUAUAAAAGUGAAUAAAUGAUAGUUUAUUUUAA
This is a long non-coding RNA of Apis cerana (Asiatic honeybee), 1592 nucleotides long. RefSeq lists it as uncharacterized. NCBI's taxonomy places the organism in Eukaryota, Metazoa, Arthropoda, Insecta, Hymenoptera, Apidae. The record is from RefSeq and is a predicted model, not a curated record.